This 207-nucleotide ribosomal RNA is filed under the name uncultured bacterium. RNAcentral describes it as "partial 16S ribosomal RNA". It matches the Rfam family "Bacterial small subunit ribosomal RNA", at positions 568 to 774 of the family's 1533-position model. The record is from RNAcentral.
AGCGUAGGCGGAUAUUUAAGUGGGAUGUGAAAUACCCGAGCUUAACUUGGGAGCUGCAUUCCAAACUGGAUAUCUAGAGUGCAGGAGAGGAGAAUGGAAUUCCUAGUGUAGCGGUGAAAUGCGUAGAGAUUAGGAAGAACACCAGUGGCGAAGGCGAUUCUCUGGACUGUAACUGACGCUGAGGCUCGAAAGCGUGGGGAGCAAACA